Molecule: long non-coding RNA, 5852 nt
Filed under: Cucumis sativus (cucumber)
Lineage: Eukaryota; Viridiplantae; Streptophyta; Magnoliopsida; Cucurbitales; Cucurbitaceae
Description: long non-coding RNA (CSAT_LNC000888)
Source: RNAcentral
UUUAAUAUUCUUGAGAUGGAUAAAGAAAAUCAUCUCUUAAACAUAAAAUAAACUCAAAUUUUCUAAUGACUCUCACUCCAUCCAUAAUUAUCAAUUCAUGCUUAGCUUUUUUUUUUUUUUUGAUGUGAAUUGAGAACCACGAGACAUUUUUAAGAAAUCAAAUUAAAAAUUUUGUUUUGUGAAUCUUGUUAGUUUAGUUUAAAAGAUAAAAUUGAGUAACCAUUUUAUGAGUGGCUUAGACUGCUAACACCUUUCAACCUAAAUCUGAAUUUGACAAAUGUUUUUCUUGGUGACCAAUCACAUCUUAAUAUGAUGUUUUUAAUAUGAUGGUCGGUGGCGACUUCAAACCUAUAAGUAUUAUAAGUUGAUUUUCCUUGAUUAAGGCGGGAAACCUAUUUGACCAAUCACACUUUAGUAUAAUGGUCGGUGACGACUCCAAACUUAUUUAUUUAUUAAAAUUAAAUAAACGAAGAUGUCGGUAGCUCCGCGUCAUAAUCACGUCGCGACAACAAGAUUUAUGAUUGAUUAAAAACAAAGUUCAUGAUUUCAAAAAAUUAUAAAAGAAAAAUUGAAGACGGAAAAAAAAGAACAAAUAUGAAAUAUUUAAAUGACCAGUUUUGAGCUUUUUGAUUUUGUUACCCAGAUCAUAAAUAUUUGAGUGAUUUGUUAUUAUCUACGAAAAUUAACCAAUAUAUAAUUAGCGAAAAAACAUUUUAUAUCUUAAAACUUAAAUUACAUAAUUCAAAAACUAUGUGUAAAUCAGUAAAACAAAUGACCUUUAAGAUAACUGAAUUUGAUGCAACAACAAAAACAAAAAACAAAAAACAAAAAUCGUAAAAAACAAGUACUUUGUAUUUUGAGUAAAAAGAAAUGAAAGGUAUGCAAGUUUAUUUGAAAAUGAAAACAAUGUAUCUACAAAAGUAAAACUUUUUAAAAGUUAAUUUUCUAAUUGACACAAAAAAUUUCGAAUGAACUCAUAUUAAUUCAACAUGCACAAAUAUCAAAUACUCAGUAUUAGAAAAAAUUAAUUCAAAAAGUGAUUUGAAAAACAAAAAAUAAUAAUAUGAUAAGGAAUUGAAUUUGUUAUAUGAUGAUAUGUAUAAAAUAACAAAGAAAGAAGUCAAAAUUAUUUAAUCAAAUGUAAAGUAAUAAAAACCAAAUAAGAUAAACAAAAACAAAUGUAUAUGAAACCAAUAAUUUAAAAUAUGAAAAUAGAGAAAAAUUGGGGUUCUUUAUCUCUUAGGUUGAAAUCUCAAAACCAACUUUAUGCAAUAAUUCAACUACUUUAUUCCUAGAUUCUGUUAAGUUUGAAUCAUUCAUGUUUGGAAUUACACAAUAUUUAAUACAUGAUUUAUGAGGGCAAAAACCAGUUCUUUUUUUUAGUAAAAAUAUGGCGUACACUUUUGUCAAAAAGAAAAAUAAACUUAUUAAUCUAAUUUUUCUUUUUGGAGACAGAAAGGCAAAUGCUCCUCUAGGUUUUGCCAUUCCAAAAAAGUAACAUUUAUUAUGGUACACAAUAUAACUCAUUACCUUUUAUUCUAUUUACCAUAAACCAAUUACCUUAAUAUGUUACCCACUCACAAUUGAGUCUAACUUUUUUUUUUUUUUUUUUCUUUUAAAUUAAAGUUUGUAGCCUCUUGACGCUCUUGAUAUAAAUGAAAGUAAUUGUUUGUUAUGGGUGAUCGAUGUUAAAAUUCGUUUAGAUGCCAUAUCUAGUUAAGGAAUGGCAAAGACUAUGGUUUUUCAAAUGAUCGACAAAUAUCAUGAUUUUUUUUUGACAUCUUCACAAGGGAUUAAAGGUUGAAUAUUUUACGGUAAAAGAUCCCUAUAAUCGAUGACAAAGUUUGAAAGAAAUGUAUGAUCAUAAAAAAAAAAAAACAAUAAUGAAGGGAUAAAAGCUCUGGCAACGGAAUAUUUAAUAUAGACCGCAAGGAGGUGCGCAAGAUUUGUACUAAAAUUUUGAAAACUUUUCGAAGAACCUCACAAGGCAAGCAAAAGUAAAGCGUUUUAAACUAAGCCAAAAGCAAAAUAAUUGUUGUAAAUUUAGUAAUCUAGGAUUAAAUUAAUCUUAACUUGACAUCAAUGCCUUGAUACUUGGAGAAGGAAAAAAAUACUUAGUGAGUGAGGUUUUAGAAAUCCUUCAUGGAGAAUACAAUACAAUCAAGUAAAUUCAUUUUCUAUAAAUAGGCUCAUAACACCUCAUUUAAAACAUAUAAAACACUAAUUAGCCUCUAUUUAUUCAUUUCACCGAGAACAUGAACCAUUCAUAGCAUAGACUAAUGUAAUUUCUCAUAUCACCGACAUUCCUUAGAGAAUUUCUUGAUUCAUUUCCCAUUUCUGAAAGGUGCUAACUCAAUAUGCUCAUUCUAACGCAUUAACUAGAUUUUUACUAUCAUGUGGUCAUUUCACCCCAUAGUUGUCUUGACUCAUUAUGUGCACAUAAUAACUAGUUUAUGAUAGGAAUAUAGCUAAUGGUUUACUCGCAUACAUAACAUACAAUCAUCACAUACAAACUUUAUCUCAUAAACUUUCUUUUUAAAUAAACAAGCUAUUUAAUCAACAUCAACCACAUCACAUGAACAUUUCAUUACAACAUAAAGACUAAGAACCAAUGCUUUUAGAACACUGGCACUCACAAACAAAAAUUGCUAAAGUUGUAUUUUUACAAAAUUCAUCAAAGCUCAGUUGAAAUUGUGAAAUUAGAUUAUGAAUAAAAGAAAGAAUGAUAGUAAAGAAUAAACAAAAUGUUUAAAACGAUGACUUUUCUUUUGUUUAUAGUGAAAAGAUGAGAAGCUAAAUAUUCCCGUUUUAUCACCCUUUUCUUUUUCCGUCUGUUUCCAUAUCGUCGAAGCCAAACCCAGCGGACAAAAGAACACAGUGAGAGAAAGAAAAAGGAGAGUGUAGCAGCCGACGAAAACACACAGAGAGAGAAAUUAGCCCAGCGAUUUGCGGCGUUCCUGCGUUCGUUGGAGUCGGGUAUCCAACGGUAUAGCCGCGGGCAGGAUAGGACGUUUUCGAGCCGCGCUUCCGGCGAGUUUCACGGUGAGUUUCAAGAUACAAUUACAGCUUGGUUGUAAUCAUAACAAGUGGUAUCAGAUACCACUUCUAUUCAUAACAAGUGGUAUAGAGCAUGGUAUAGUUAUAACAAGCGAACGCCGAAAAAUUUUACAGUUCUAUUUGCCAUCCAUAGUUUUCUUUUCCCUACUUACGGCUAAAAACCAGUGGACUAAUCCACUGGAUUGUGAAAAAAAUUUGAAUUUCUUCCAUGGGCGACCCAACCGGUUCGAAGCUCGGUUUUGUAUAUUUUAUUACUUUCUCUUUCUUAUUUUGUGCGCCUUUUCACUUUGAGGUCGUUUUCAUAUUGGUGUGUCGCCUUCUCUGAAGCGUCAUUGAUUUUUUCAAUUAAUAGGGAUAAAGAAAUUUGCACACGAUUCUUAGCUUUAAUUUUAACUCCAUUUCCUGAACUUUUUGCUUUGUCUCUGCAUUUUUUAGGGUUGAUUUUGGAAGAAGAAAGCUGUAGAGAGUUAUGUCUUGCAGCACUUUUAACCUUGGAGGAGGGUCGCUCAAGUUUUGUAGCAUUAAUAAAGGCAGCCAAAUAAAGAAUCAUCUUCGGUUCUUUAAUGGGUUUGUCUCAAAUGGUCGAUGCAAUUUAGUCUCUAACUCUGCAAUUUCUUUCUCUGUUGGAUCCAUCAGCUUCAAUUCUCUUCCACCUCAGGAUUUUCAAUUUCACAAUCGUUCACGUUUCUCCUCCCAUGUCAUCAACUGCUCUACUUUUAACUCAGAGGCGUCAAUCUCUUCUAAUAAAGCAAAUGGUAAUUUGGGGUCUUUGGAAAAGUUGGUCAUGUUCGGAUGAUUUUGAUGUUUGUUGUGGAAACUGAUAUUUGAACCUUCUUUCUUGGUUAACUAAUACUUGCAGAUGAACGAGUUAUUGUAUUGGUGAUUGGUGGAGGAGGGCGAGAACAUGCGCUUUGCUAUGCAUUGCAGCGCUCUCCUUCCUGUGAUGCUGUGUUUUGUGCGCCAGGCAAUGCUGGGAUUUCGAGCUCAGGCAACGCCACUUGUAUUUCUGAGCUUGAUAUCAAUGAUAGUGCCGCUGUCAUUUCUUUCUGUCGAAAAUGGAAUGUAGGAUUGGUUGUUAUAGGCCCUGAGGCCCCUCUUGUUGCAGGGCUUGCAAAUGAUUUAGUUAAGGCUGGGAUUGCUACUUUUGGCCCCUCAUCUGAGGCUGCUGCUUUGGAAGGCUCCAAAAAUUUCAUGAAGAGAUUGUGUGAUAAAUAUGGAAUCCCCACUGCAAAGGUUUGUUUGGAUCUUAGCUCCGUACUCUUUGAACUUGUUUGAUUAGUUCCUAGCGAAGUUUAUGCCUGCAGAUUUUUCACUAUUUGUUUACACAUCCAAACUUUGGUACACCAAUCACUUUCAAAAUGAGUUUUCAUUAGUAUGCAUCAUGCUCACCAACACUGUCAUAUAAACUGAAAUUUAUUUCAUAUCUCCUUGGACUGCAUUGGGGUUUGGAUAAUCUCGCGGGAUUGAUUGAUCUACUCAUCCCAUCAAGGGAUGAGUUAGACACUUCUGCCCACUACGAAAAGAAAUAAGUACGUCAAGAAAACUUUUGAGUGCAAUGUUUGAUCGUCGCAUUGCAAUAUAGAGUUGGAAGUUUCAAAGGCUUCAGGAAACAUUAAUGAAUUGAAUACCUUUUCUUUGUGUACCUUUCUCUUAUGUCUUUGCUUAGAUCUGACUAUCCUUUGCCUUUGCCACAUGGAUUACUUGUCACAGUAUCAAUCAUUUACAGACCCUUCUGCAGCAAAACAAUAUAUUCAAGAACAAAGUGUUCCGAUAGUCAUCAAAGCAGAUGGAUUGGCUGCUGGAAAAGGAGUUAUUGUUGCUACGACGUUGGAGGAGGCCUAUGAAGCUGUUGAUGCAAUGCUUGUGAAGGGUGCUUUUGGUUCAGCUGGUGGCCGUGUCAUUGUUGAAGAAUAUCUGGAAGGGGAAGAAGCAUCCUUUUUUGCACUUGUAGAUGGAGAGAAUGCUAUACCCUUAGAAUCUGCACAGGAUCAUAAAAGAGUUGGGGACGGUGACACGGGACCUAAUACAGGUGGUAUGGGUGCUUACUCCCCAGCUCCUGUCAUAACAAGGGAACUUCAAAGUAUAAUCAUGGAAUCUAUAAUUCUACCCACGGUAAAAGGAAUGGCAGAAGAGGGUUGCAAGUUUGUUGGGGUUUUGUUUGCUGGUCUUAUGAUAGAGAAGAAAUCUGGCUUGCCAAAAUUGAUUGAAUACAAUGUACGCUUUGGAGAUCCCGAGUGUCAGGUUAGUUGACUGAGCUAAAAUGUUUUUGCUUGUAAUUUUACCAUGUGCACCUGCAGAUAUAGAAGGAGUUGGUUGUUACUCUAUGGAGCAUUGGAAGUUAUCAAAUGACUGAACUUUUGUGAUCAAUAAUCGAUAUGUCACACUUGAAUUUGACACCAUAUAGUAUAGGUGCUUUCAUUGUAGCUAAAAGUACAAAAUAAUGCGCUUCUUUUGAUAAAGAUGUAAUUAUGAAGGAAAUUAAACAAAGGGCAACUUGUGGCUAAGUUUUCUAGGCCUAUGUGUCUAGUUUCUUUUCUUCAUUGUUCGCUAGGUUUUACUUCUCUUGAUGAGGAUUUCUUGUUGUUUGACUCUUUCACGACCCUUUUUCUUGACAUGUUACUGAUCAUAAACCUCUGGCUUCGAUGAAAAACAGGUGCUGAUGAUUAGGUUGGAAUCAGACCUUGCAAAAGUUCUUAUGGCAACAUGUAGAGGAGAGCUAAGUGGGGUUUCACUGGAUUGGUCCCCAGGGUCUUCAAUGGUGGUCGUAAUGGCGAGCAAGGGAUAUCCUGGGGCAU